AUUGAACGCUGGCGGCAGGCCUAACACAUGCAAGUCGAGCGUGAAAGUCCUUCGGGAUGAGUAAAGCGGCGGACGGGUGAGUAACGCGUAGGAAUCUACCUGAUAGUGGGGGAUAACGUCCCGAAAGGGGCGCUAAUACCGCAUACGUUCUGAGGAAGAAAGCAGGGGAUCGCAAGACCUUGCGCUAUCAGAUGAGCCUGCGUCCGAUUAGCUAGUUGGUGGGGUAAAGGCCUACCAAGGCGACCAUCGGUAACUGGUCUGAGAGGAUGAUCAGUCACACUGGAACUGAGACACGGUCCAGACUCCUACGGGAGGCAGCAGUGGGGAAUAUUGGACAAUGGGGGCAACCCUGAUCCAGCCAUGCCGCGUGUGUGAAGAAGGCCUUCGGGUUGUAAAGCACUUUAAGCGGGGAGGAAGGCUCGGCAGCUAAUACCUGUCGGGAUUGACGUUACCCGCAGAAUAAGCACCGGCAAACUUCGUGCCAGCAGCCGCCGUAA
This 497-nucleotide ribosomal RNA is filed under the name uncultured bacterium. RNAcentral's name for it is "partial 16S ribosomal RNA". It matches the Rfam family "Bacterial small subunit ribosomal RNA", at positions 30 to 523 of the family's 1533-position model. The record is from RNAcentral.